UCAGUCGGUUGGACGGCUGCGGGCGGCGGUGUUAAGUUGUUGAGUGGCAGCCCUUUUGCAAACUGUAUACUAAAAUUGUUUGUUUAUAUUGCAAGUUUCUGCCACUCAACAACUUAACCUGUCCGUCUGAGGAAAGUCCGGGCAUCGCAGGGCAGGAUAACGGCUAACGGCCGCCGAGGGUGACCUUAGGGAGAGUGCAACAGAGAUAUACCGCCGCUUUAAGUUGGCAAAAGUCAGCUUAUGUGGUAAGGGUGGAAAGGCGAGGUAAGAGCUCACCACGGGACUGGAGACAGCUCCCGUCUGUAAACCCUAUCCGAUGCAACGCAGAAUUAUGCUAUACAUUUGCCCGAUGUGCAUAGACGUGCGGCUUGAGCCUGUCGGCAACGGCAGGUCGAGAUAGAUGGUCGUCAAAGAACUUUGUUCUUUACAGAACCCGGCUUACAGACCGAGUGGGAAA
This 457-nucleotide RNase P RNA is filed under the name Clostridia bacterium. Its description in RNAcentral is "RNase P RNA component class A". It matches the Rfam family "Bacterial RNase P class A". Rfam says of the family: Ribonuclease P (RNase P) is a ubiquitous endoribonuclease, found in archaea, bacteria and eukarya as well as chloroplasts and mitochondria. The record is from RNAcentral. Lineage: Bacteria; Bacillati; Bacillota; Clostridia.